AAAAGCAGCCACAGUGGAGUGCAAGUGCCCAGUAGUGUCUGAUCUUUGAAGCUAAGCAGGACUGUACCUGGUUAGUACUUGGAUGGGACCCCAACUUGGAACUGCAGGAGCUGCUAUCC
This 119-nucleotide ribosomal RNA is filed under the name Mastacembelus armatus (zig-zag eel). Lineage: Eukaryota; Metazoa; Chordata; Actinopteri; Synbranchiformes; Mastacembelidae. The record is from RNAcentral.